This 129-nucleotide transfer-messenger RNA is filed under the name Candidatus Coatesiibacteriota bacterium. RNAcentral's name for it is "Candidatus Coatesbacteria bacterium partial transfer-messenger RNA". It matches the Rfam family "transfer-messenger RNA", at positions 236 to 374 of the family's 374-position model. Rfam says of the family: Bacterial tmRNA, also known as 10Sa RNA or SsrA, is named for its dual tRNA and mRNA-like properties. Its role is to liberate the mRNA from a stalled ribosome. The record is from RNAcentral. Lineage: Bacteria; Candidatus Coatesiibacteriota.
GGAAGGGACUAGCGACCGGGCUGAGGUAGCCGCGGCCCUGCCCGGCGGCGAAUCGCAAGCACGGCUAAGCAUGUAGAGCUGGAAGUCGAGCGUUAUCGGACGGGGGUUCGAUUCCCCCCGCCUCCACCA